RNAcentral lists this unclassified non-coding RNA (495 nucleotides) under Hevea brasiliensis (rubber tree). Lineage: Eukaryota; Viridiplantae; Streptophyta; Magnoliopsida; Malpighiales; Euphorbiaceae. The record is from RNAcentral.
UUUAAAUAAAAAAAAUAUUUAAAUAAUUAAUAGCCACAAAACAUAACAACUCAUAUAGAUUCAAAUAAUAACGGUCUCGUUCGCACAGCAUGCAUUAUUCAUACAAGAAUUGGCCAAUUUAUUGAUAGAGAUGAGAUUGAAGGCGAGGAUUGAGAAAGCAUUCAAGUGGGGUUGCUCUGAGGUUGGUUAAUCCAAUGCUCUCACUCAUAUCAAGCUGCUCGCUAGUUGGGUUUUCAAUAUCAAACCCCUGUAGCAAUGUAGCAAGAGUUAAUUGCAAAACCUGAAGAGCAAAAGAGACACCAGGGCACAUCCUUCUUCCAUUGCUAAAUGGUAUAAACUCAAAGUUUUGGCCCCUAAUAUCAUAAUCUUUGUGAAUUGUAAGAAAUCGUUCUGGUUGGAACUCAGAAGGGUUAGACCACACCCUAGGAUCACGAUGAAUCUUGGUAAGAUUAACGAGGAGUCUUGUGCCUGCUGGAAUAUGGUAGCCAGCUACAG